Molecule: ribosomal RNA, 506 nt
Filed under: uncultured bacterium
Lineage: Bacteria
Description: bacterial SSU rRNA
Rfam family: Bacterial small subunit ribosomal RNA
Source: RNAcentral
AUUGAACGCUGGCGGAAUGCUUUACACAUGCAAGUCGAACGGCAGCACGGGGGCAACCCUGGUGGCGAGUGGCGAACGGGUGAGUAAUACAUCGGAACGUGCCCAGUCGUGGGGGAUAACGUAGCGAAAGCUACGCUAAUACCGCAUACGAUCUACGGAUGAAAGCGGGGGAUCGCAAGACCUCGCGCGAUUGGAGCGGCCGAUGGCAGAUUAGGUAGUUGGUGGGGUAAAGGCUCACCAAGCCUUCGAUCUGUAGCUGGUCUGAGAGGACGACCAGCCACACUGGGACUGAGACACGGCCCAGACUCCUACUGGAGGCAGCAGUGGGGAAUUUUGGACAAUGGGCGAAAGCCUGAUCCAGCCAUUCCGCGUGCAGGAUGAAGGCCCUCGGGUUGUAAACUGCUUUUUGUACGGAACGAAACGGCCUUUUUCUAAUACAGAGGGCUAAUGACGGUACCGUAAGAAUAAGCACCGGCUAACUACGUGCCAGCAGCCGCGGUAAUGUA